RNAcentral lists this ribosomal RNA (426 nucleotides) under uncultured bacterium. RNAcentral's name for it is "bacterial SSU rRNA". It matches the Rfam family "Bacterial small subunit ribosomal RNA", at positions 355 to 774 of the family's 1533-position model. The record is from RNAcentral.
UGGGGAAUUUUGGACAAUGGGCGCAAGCCUGAUCCAGCAAUGCCGCGUGCAGGAUGAAGGCCUUCGGGUUGUAAACUGCUUUUGUACGGAGCGAAAAGGUCUGCCCUAAUACGGUGGCUCAUGACGGUACCGUAAGAAUAAGCACCGGCUAACUACGUGCCAGCAGCCGCGGUAAUACGUAGGGUGCGAGCGUUAAUCGGAAUUACUGGGCGUAAAGCGUGCGCAGGCGGUGACGUAAGACAGAUGUGAAAUCCCCGGGCUCAACCUGGGACCUGCAUUUGUGACUGCAUCGCUGGAGUGCGGCGGAGGGGGAUGGAAUUCCGCGUGUAGCAGUGAGAUGCGUAGAUAUGCGGAGGAACACCGAUGGCGAAGGCACUCCCCUGGGCCUGCACUGACGCUCAUGCACGAAAGCGUGGGGAGCAAACA